Molecule: unclassified non-coding RNA, 207 nt
Filed under: Hevea brasiliensis (rubber tree)
Lineage: Eukaryota; Viridiplantae; Streptophyta; Magnoliopsida; Malpighiales; Euphorbiaceae
Source: RNAcentral
UUUAGAGAGAGAGAGAGAGAGAAGUAGAGUUAGAGAUAGAAAGAGGGAGCUCCAAAUAGAGGGAGAGAUGAGUGAGGGAAGUGAUUUAGAGAAGAGAAUCGGAUGGAGGCGAUGGGCAGAGGAGAGGGACAGAGGGCUGUGGGCUGCUUGCUUCCAUGCAAAAGGCAAUUUGGAAACACAUACACAAACAAUAACCGUAGACUCUGG